UACAGAGGGGGCAAGCGUUAUUCGGAAUUAUUGGGCGUAAAGGGCGCGUAGGCGGCUUGGCAAGUGGAAGGUGAAAUCCCUCGGCUUAACCGAGGAACUGCCUUCCAGACUGCUUUGCUUGAGGCCGGGAGAGGCGAGUGGAAUUCCCAGUGUAGCGGUGAAAUGCGUAGAUAUUGGGAGGAACACCAAUAGCGAAGGCAGCUCGCUGGGACGUUACUGACACUGAGGCGCGAAAGCGUGGGGAGCGAACAGG
This 253-nucleotide ribosomal RNA is filed under the name uncultured bacterium. Its description in RNAcentral is "partial 16S ribosomal RNA". It matches the Rfam family "Bacterial small subunit ribosomal RNA", at positions 524 to 776 of the family's 1533-position model. The record is from RNAcentral.